AUGGCAAACUUUUAAAUGCUGAGGUAGCUGC
RNAcentral lists this non-coding RNA (31 nucleotides) under Rattus norvegicus (Norway rat). Lineage: Eukaryota; Metazoa; Chordata; Mammalia; Rodentia; Muridae. The record is from RNAcentral.